RNAcentral lists this long non-coding RNA (1056 nucleotides) under Penaeus japonicus. RNAcentral's name for it is "uncharacterized LOC122249674". The record is from RNAcentral. Lineage: Eukaryota; Metazoa; Arthropoda; Malacostraca; Decapoda; Penaeidae.
CCAUCACAAGCACUAGUGUACAAUCAUAUUAUCAGAUAACAAGGGCGAGUUUGGGCUCCGAUUACGUAAAUACAAAACAAGAAAAAAUACUGAUAACUGCAUAUUAAAAAGGGAAAGUGAUUUCAGUAAAGAGUUUACUCACAGGCGAGCCGUUUGACUGACAAGGAUCAGUUUUCCGAAGUUCGAACGGUUUCGAAAACUUAGGACUCGUGUUUCUUGUUGUCUCCCUUUGCCGUGAGUGAGAGGAGGAAAAAGUGGAUACAAGAAGAUUGAAAUAGAGAAGAAGUGGGCGGGAGGAAGAAAAUAGAAGAGAAGGAGAACGAGGAUAAAGGAAGAAACCAGCUAGAAAGACUGAAAGGUAGAAGUGGAGAAAGAAAUAGUAAGACAGGAAGAACGAGAAAAGUAUAACGACACGAUUCUCGAGAAAAGAAAAAGGAAAUAUUUAAAACAUCUAAGAUAUUCGCUCUUUGAAAUGGGUUACAAAGUCGGAGAAAUUCCCAUGGAAGUGGUAGACGUAUUGCAGAGUGACGAAGAAGAAAACAUAGAAAUAGUUGGUCACGAACACAACUUUUUCUUCGCCUUCAGAGGAGAGCCAUCUGUUGGCAAUGGAUAAGAAUUUUACCCUCGAAGGCAACUCUACCUUACCCAUAACGUCAAUGAUAGCCGAAGCACAGGAGUGAAGCAGCGUGAAUGCAGCGCUUCCUCUGACUCACUUGUUUACGCAGCUCCCGAAGCUUUCAAAAUAGACGUAUCGACGGUGAUGUGGAAGGUGUUACGUCUGCACUAACGACGUAUUUCUGUAAGGUUCAAUCAAAGUAUUACCGGUAUAGUGUUUGUUGAAUCUAUAGAGACUUGCGAAGUUUUAACUUUGCAGGAGGAAUGUAGGGGAUACGAGCGCAUUUUAUUAGAUACUUGGAAAGGGAUCACUAGUUAGAUCUGUGUAAAAUUUUGAAUUAUGAAACGGAUAUUUGCCAAAUGUUACAAAAUGAAACACUCAUUAAAGGUGAAUACAUUUUUGGUUGGUGUAUUAAAGAUGUGAAUAAAGGAUAAAAUCUA